AUACGGAGGAUCCGAGCGUUAUCCGGAUUUAUUGGGUUUAAAGGGUGCGCAGGCGGCCAUUUAAGUCAGCGGUUAAAUCGUGGGGCUCAACCCCAUUCUGCCGUUGAUACUGGGUGGCUUGAUUGCGGUCGAGGUUGGCGGAAUUCGUUGUGUAGCGGUGAAAUGCAUAGAUAUGACGAAGAACACCGAUUGCGUAGGCAGCUGACCAGACCGCAAAUGACGCUCAUGCACGAAAGUGCGGGGAUCGAACAGGAUUAGAUACCCUGGUAGUCUGCACAGUAAACGAUGAAUACUUGUUUUCGGCGAUAUAAUGUCGGAGGCAAAGCGAAAGCGAUAAGUAUUCCACCUGGGGAGUUCGCCGGCAACGGUGAAACUCAAAUGAAUUGACGGGG
RNAcentral lists this ribosomal RNA (392 nucleotides) under uncultured bacterium. Its description in RNAcentral is "partial 16S ribosomal RNA". It matches the Rfam family "Bacterial small subunit ribosomal RNA", at positions 523 to 918 of the family's 1533-position model. The record is from RNAcentral.